This 233-nucleotide ribosomal RNA is filed under the name uncultured bacterium. RNAcentral describes it as "partial 16S ribosomal RNA". It matches the Rfam family "Bacterial small subunit ribosomal RNA", at positions 257 to 504 of the family's 1533-position model. The record is from RNAcentral.
GUAACGGCCCACCUAGGCGACGAUCAGUAGCCGGACUGAGAGGUUGACCGGCCACAUUGGGACUGAGACACGGCCCAGACUCCUACGGGAGGCAGCAGUGGGGAAUAUUGGGCAAUGGGCGCAAGCCUGACCCAGCAACGCCGCGUGAAGGAAGAAGGCUUUCGGGUUGUAAACUUCUUUUGUCGGGGACGAAACAAAUGACGGUACCCGACGAAUAAGCCACGGCUAACUAC